GUGGGGAAUAUUGGACAAUGGGCGAAAGCCUGAUCCAGCCAUGCCGCGUGUGUGAAGAAGGUCUUCGGAUUGUAAAGCACUUUAAGUUGGGAGGAAGGGUAGUAACCUAAUACGUUGCUACUUUGACGUUACCGACAGAAUAAGCACCGGCUAACUUCGUGCCAGCAGCCGCGGUAAUACGAAGGGUGCAAGCGUUAAUCGGAAUUACUGGGCGUAAAGCGCGCGUAGGUGGUUCAGUAAGUUGGAAGUGAAAUCCCCGGGCUCAACCUGGGAACUGCUUUCAAAACUGCUGAGCUAGAGUACGGUAGAGGGUGGUGGAAUUGCCUGUGUAGCGGUGAAAUGCGUAGAUAUAGGAAGGAACACCAGUGGCGAAGGCGACCACCUGGACUGAUACUGACACUGAGGUGCGAAAGCGUGGGGAGCAAACAGGAUUAGAUACCCCUGUAGUCC
This 450-nucleotide ribosomal RNA is filed under the name uncultured bacterium. RNAcentral's name for it is "partial 16S ribosomal RNA". It matches the Rfam family "Bacterial small subunit ribosomal RNA", at positions 354 to 796 of the family's 1533-position model. The record is from RNAcentral.